Molecule: ribosomal RNA, 163 nt
Filed under: Xanthophyllum hypoleucum
Lineage: Eukaryota; Viridiplantae; Streptophyta; Magnoliopsida; Fabales; Polygalaceae
Description: 5.8S ribosomal RNA
Rfam family: 5.8S ribosomal RNA
About the family: 5.8S ribosomal RNA (5.8S rRNA) is a component of the large subunit of the eukaryotic ribosome. It is transcribed by RNA polymerase I as part of the 45S precursor that also contains 18S and 28S rRNA.
Source: RNAcentral
AAAUGACUCUCGGCAACGGAUAUCUCGGCUCUCGCAUCGAUGAAGAACGUAGCGAAAUGCGAUACUUGGUGUGAAUUGCAGAAUCCCGUGAACCAUCGAGUCUUUGAACGCAAGUUGCGCCCAAAGCCUUCGGGCCGAGGGCACGUCUGCCUGGGUGUCACGC